AGGGCGUGAGGAGAAUACGGUGGCCUUAGUGGCUUUUUGGGGAGCAUUGUGCCUCCACACCGCUCCAACGGAGACGUACUUCCUGUCAAAGGGAAGGAACUUCGGUAACACAUCCUCAUCUCCAUCGGUUCCACUUGUGGUUAUCUCUAUCCUUUACUUUGUAUUUGCUUUUGCUUGUGACUAUAUCUUAGUUGUCUUAAUAGCUCUCGUUGUUAGAUUCUAUCGGGUUCACCUCAUUGUCAUAUUAUUUGUGAACCCGCAUAGUGUUUACCUUAACUUGCUAAGAUUAAUUAAAAGG
This 298-nucleotide long non-coding RNA is filed under the name Hordeum vulgare. RNAcentral's name for it is "long non-coding RNA (HVUL_LNC012918)". The record is from RNAcentral. Lineage: Eukaryota; Viridiplantae; Streptophyta; Magnoliopsida; Poales; Poaceae.